GAUGAACGCUAGCGGGAGGCUUAACACAUGCAAGUCGAGGGGCAGCAUAGGGUAGCAAUACUCUGAUGGCGACCGGCAAACGGGUGAGUAACGCGUAUGCAACCUACCCUGUACAGGGGGAUAACCCGGAGAAAUUCGGACUAAUAUCCCGUAAUAAUAUCCGGAGGCAUCUUUGGAUAUUUAAAGUUCCGACGGUACGGGAUGGGCAUGCGUAACAUUAGCUGGUUGGUAAGGUAACGGCUUACCAAGGCUAUGAUGUUUAGGGGUCCUGAGAGGGUGGUCCCCCACACUGGUACUGAGACACGGACCAGACUCCUACGGGAGGCAGCAGUGAGGAAUAUUGGUCAAUGGGCGCAAGCCUGAACCAGCCAUCCCGCGUGCAGGAAGACGGCCCUAUGGGUUGUAAACUGCUUUUCCAGGGAGAGAAACUUACGCACGUGUUGCGUGACUGACGGUACCCUGGGAAUAAGCAUCGGCUAACUCCGUGCCAGCAGCCGCGGUAAUCACGAGAAUA
RNAcentral lists this ribosomal RNA (514 nucleotides) under uncultured bacterium. Its description in RNAcentral is "bacterial SSU rRNA". It matches the Rfam family "Bacterial small subunit ribosomal RNA", at positions 28 to 534 of the family's 1533-position model. The record is from RNAcentral.